RNAcentral lists this ribosomal RNA (708 nucleotides) under uncultured marine eukaryote. Its description in RNAcentral is "SSU rRNA". It matches the Rfam family "Eukaryotic small subunit ribosomal RNA", at positions 618 to 1332 of the family's 1831-position model. The record is from RNAcentral.
GUUAAAACGCUCGUAGUCGGAUUUCGGGGCGGGUCUGCCGGUUUGCCGAUGGGUAUAUACUGGCGGGUGCGUCCUUCCUUCCGGAGACCGCGCCUCCUCUUAACUGAGCGGGCGUGGGAGACGGAUCGUUUACUUUGAAAAAAUCAGAGUGUUUCAAGCAGGCAUGUCGCUCUUGCAUGGAUUAGCAUGGGAUAAUGAAAUAGGACUUUGGUGCUAUUUUGUUGGUUUCGAGCACCGAAGUAAUGAUUAACAGGGACAGUCAGGGGCACUCGUAUUCCGCAGAGAGAGGUGAAAUUCUUAGACCCGCGGAAGACGAACCACUGCGAAAGCAUUUGCCAGGGAUGUUUUCACUGAUCAAGAACGAAAGUUAGGGGAUCGAAGACGAUCAGAUACCGUCGUAGUCUUAACCAUAAACGAUGCCAACUAGGGAUUCCGAGAUGUUGUUUUUGACUCUCGGAGCACCUUACGGGAAACUAAAGUCUUUGGGUUCCGGGGGGAGUAUGGUCGCAAGGCUGAAACUUAAAGGAAUUGACGGAAGGGCACCACCAGGAGUGGAGCCUGCGGCUUAAUUUGACUCAACACGGGGAAACUUACCAGGUCCAGACAUUGUGAGGAUUGACAGAUUGAGAGCUCUUUCUUGAUUCGAUGGGUGGUGGUGCAUGGCCGUUCUUAGUUGGUGGAGUGAUUUGUCUGGUUAAUUCCGUUAAC